RNAcentral lists this microRNA precursor (93 nucleotides) under Canis lupus familiaris (dog). RNAcentral describes it as "mir-8799 microRNA precursor family". It matches the Rfam family "mir-8799 microRNA precursor family". The record is from Rfam by way of RNAcentral. RNAcentral also lists the same sequence under 1 other name. Lineage: Eukaryota; Metazoa; Chordata; Mammalia; Carnivora; Canidae.
GGGGUGUGCAGGAUCCUGGGCUGUGUCCCCCAGCGCCAUGGGAUCCGGAGCCUGUGCUGCUGGAAUCAUGCUCCUAGGCCCUUGCAGCACUCU